UACAGAGGGUGCGAGCGUUAAUCGGAGUUACUGGGCGUAAAGCGUGCGUAGACGGUUAUGUAAGUCGGGUGUGAAAGCCCCGGGCUCAACCUGGGAAUUGCAUUCGAGACUGCAUAGCUAGGAUGCGGAAGAGGGAAGCGGAAUUUCCGGUGUAGCGGUGAAAUGCGUAGAUAUCGGAAGGAACAUCAGUGGCGAAAGCGGCUUCCUGGUCCAGCAUCGACGUUCAGGCACGAAAGCGUGGGGAGCAAACAGG
This 253-nucleotide ribosomal RNA is filed under the name uncultured bacterium. Its description in RNAcentral is "partial 16S ribosomal RNA". It matches the Rfam family "Bacterial small subunit ribosomal RNA", at positions 524 to 776 of the family's 1533-position model. The record is from RNAcentral.